Molecule: long non-coding RNA, 1157 nt
Filed under: Salvator merianae (Argentine black and white tegu)
Lineage: Eukaryota; Metazoa; Chordata; Lepidosauria; Squamata; Teiidae
Description: lncRNA (ENSSMRG00000002144.1)
Source: RNAcentral
AUCACCUGCAAGGGACUGAGGAUGGGGCCAUCCCUUGGCGGCCCCCGCUGUGCAGACGGAGGGUCCCCAGGCCAACCACUGGCCCCUCCCAGUGGGUCUGGGCAGUCCCGGAGUGGGUCCUGAAGUCCCGGAGAGCCAGAACGGCUUCCGGCAUGUGCGGACAGAGUGGGAUCAGAGGCUGGAUGCAGCUCCAGGCCUCUUCUUCAGCCCCCUCNUCUGUCCCGUUCCAAUCCCUUGCUAGGGCACAGCGCUCCAGGGAGCUGUAUGUGCAACUGCUUCCCCCCCCCAAAGCCCUCACCUUGGGGAAGGGUGGUCCCCCUGUGACCUCUGNCAGGUCUCCCAUGUGCUUGUUGCAGGUGGCAGAACCACUGGAAUGGUGCACUUUUCACUGCCUCACCUCCUGCAAGCAACAGCAGUCUCAGGCCGUCCACCUUCCUCCUGCUCGGCAUCCCAGGGCUGGAGGCUGCUCAACCGUGGCUUGCCACCCCCUGGGCACCAUGUACCUGCUGGCCGUGCUUCUGGCUGUCGUCGGGUCCGAGCCCUGUCUCCGGGAGCCCAUGUACCUCUUCCUAGCCCUCUGGCCGCCACUGACUUGCUCCUCUCCACGUCCACCCUGCCCCAGACGAUGGCCAUCUUCUGGCUGGGCCCCAGGGCCAUUGGCUUCCACUCCUGUCUGGCACAAAUGCUUUUCAUCCACGCCUUCUCCUGCAUGGAGUCCGGCAUCCUGGGGACUCUGGCUCUGGACUGCUACAUCGCCAUCUGUCUUCCCCUGCACCAUUNGGCCAUCUGGACAACUUCUGCCAUUGCCAAGAUGGCACUGGCAAUCCUUCUCCGGGGCGUGCUCCUCAUCUGCCCCUUUGUUCUCCUGCUGUGGGGCCUCCCCUUCUGUGGACACCAANUCAUCCAUCACACCUACUGUGAGCACAUGGCAGUGGUCAAGCUGGCCUGCACAGACACCACACCCAGCAGAGNGUACGGCCUGGCGGUGGCCCUCCUUGUGNUGGGCCUGGACACAGUGUGCNUUGNCGUCUCCUACGCCACNGUCCUCUGGGCAGUCUUCAGCCUCCCGUCUCGCCAGAAGCAACACAAGGCCCUCGGCACGUGCAGCUCCCACUGCGCCGUGAUGGUCAGCUUCUACCUGCUUCUCUUUUCUCAUG